GGGGCUGCAGGUGCAAGGGGCAGGGAGUGGAACAUGAGACCAGCAAGAGUGAGAAGGCCUUGAAUGCCAGGCCAGACAUGGAGAGCGUUAGGGAACCAGAGCCAGUUUGAAAAGGCAGCUGAGAUGGGGCUGUGGAGAACUCGGAAUGCAAUCCCCACCCCCAGGAGAAGAGGAAGAAACCUCUUACUGUCUCCAGCAAGGGGCUCCCAGGGUCUGCCAGGACCACACCAUCCAACCCUAUGCUGUCAGAUCUCCCAGCUCUCCCUUCAGCAAUUUUGAGUCAUAGUUGUAUCUGGGGCUGAGGCUAAAUUCUCCUCUGAACCUCCAUCGACCGCCCUUACUGCCCACCUCAGAGAAACCGCAUCUCUGGAGGCUGAAGUCUGGACUGAGGGCACAGGCUUUGUCCACUGAAAACUUACAGAAAUUGUGCCAACAGCCCAAGAGCAAUUGCAUCCCUGCUGCCUGACUAUGGUCUCUAAAUACCAUUUCCCGCUAGAAGAAAUCAGGGCCCUCUGGGGAAAUGCCUGUUUCCAGAUUUGUGGCAGGAAACAUAGAAGAUAAGCCUAGAAAAGUCUUAUCAUGUCAGAAAGCAAAGAUAAAAUUAAAGACUACUAGGGUCUUUGCAAAAGGACACAGGAGCCAGCUUGAAGGGGCUCCUACUGGCCCAAAACGUGACAACUUGAUCCUCAAAAAAGAAAGAUGGCCGCAAUGAACAUCACGUGUAACCCCAGUCUAAUCGUGAGCAAAGCAUCAGACAAAUCCCAAUAGAGUGACAUUCUGCAAGAUAUCUGACCAGGACUCCUCAAAACUGCCAAGGUCAUCAAAAACAAAGUCUGGGAAAUUGUCACAGCCAAGAGGAACCUAAGGAGACGUGACAAUGAAAUGUAAUGUGGUGUCCUGGAUGGGAUCCUGGAAGAAAAAAAGGACAUUAGGUAAAAAUUAAGGAAAUCUGAAUAGUCUGGACUUUAGUUAAUAAUAAUGUAUCAAUAUUGGUCAUUAAUUAUAACAAAUAUACCAUGCUAGUUAGUGUAAGAUAUUAAUAAUAGGAGAAACUCUGUUUGAUUUUUUCAAUUUUUUUGGACAUCUAAAACCGUUCUGAAAAAUCAAGUUGAUUUAAAAAAUGGGAAAUGUAUUAAAAUCCAUUAAUUAGUAAUGACACUAAAGAAAGAGAUUUCACUGGUCACCUUUGGAGGCUGUGGAGCACCAACUCAUUUUUUGAAAAUGGAUAAAUAAAGGG
Molecule: long non-coding RNA, 1237 nt
Filed under: Equus asinus (donkey)
Lineage: Eukaryota; Metazoa; Chordata; Mammalia; Perissodactyla; Equidae
Description: lncRNA (ENSEASG00005025195.1)
Source: RNAcentral